CCUCCCUUUCCGGUAGCUGGGAACACACUAGUGUCACCACUCAGGCAUCUCCUUUGCCUUUGUUCACCAUAACUCUAAAAAUUUCUAUGUUGGGGCCUGGGCCAUCGCUCAACUGUCAGCUUGCUCACCUAGCAUGCAUGAGGCACUGGAUUCAAGCCUCGAACCACAUCCUGCAGCACCAGAGCUUCAGGUCCAAAGCACUGGUAUCAUCUCUGACUCAGGGCCAUGUUAGUCCUAGCCCCAGGAGCAACCCCAAGCAACAAGGCAGAAAACAGUGAAGAACCUCGUAUCCUUGCCCUUGCGCCUGGGUGUGUUCUGUGGAAUCUCUCAUGGCACUGCCUCUGCUCCCCAGGGCAGGGGAAAACAACGGUGGGCUCUGACAUACCUCUGCGCAUUCCACACAGUGGCUGUCCUCUGCAGAAUCCUUGGAAACAUUUGACUGGCAAAGGAUUUGAAACAAGCAGUUCACUACUAUAAUGGUUUAACCACGUGAUCUGCUUUAGCCAGUGCAGCAUUUACGGUCCUGGCAUGAACACAGACCUGGACUGGACCAGACUGGCUAGUCUGGUUUGGCCUCUGGCUGCUGUUUCCACUCGGUCAGGCCCAUGAAGCUGAUCUGAGCCGGUCCUCAAGCCUGAGACAGAGUACUA
This 650-nucleotide long non-coding RNA is filed under the name Cricetulus griseus (Chinese hamster). Its description in RNAcentral is "lncRNA (ENSCGRG00015031864.1)". The record is from RNAcentral. Lineage: Eukaryota; Metazoa; Chordata; Mammalia; Rodentia; Cricetidae.